UUUUUGGAGAGUUUGAUCUUGGCUCAGGACGAACGCUGGCGGCGUGCCUAAUACAUGCAAGUCGAGCG
RNAcentral lists this ribosomal RNA (68 nucleotides) under Oceanobacillus caeni. RNAcentral's name for it is "partial 16S ribosomal RNA". It matches the Rfam family "Bacterial small subunit ribosomal RNA", at positions 1 to 68 of the family's 1533-position model. RNAcentral also lists the same sequence under 2 other names. The record is from RNAcentral. Lineage: Bacteria; Bacillati; Bacillota; Bacilli; Caryophanales; Bacillaceae.